AGAUGUAACGCCAUGGGGUAGGAAGCCCGGAAACUUCUCCGUUUAAUGCUACAGCUCAAGGCUUGAGAAGAAUCAGUUUCCAUUAAGAUGAAGCCAAGGAAUGUCCCUAGGGAACAUGCUACUUGACACCACUUCCUAAGGAAUGAGACAACCAAGACCCACAAGAAAUGGUCUGCACAAGGUGACCCAACCUCUGAAGUAGGAGGGACAAGAGUGAGCCAGGUCUUCUUCACCCACACCUCAUACAAAAGCAACGAAACUUCACAUGGAAUUACUUCAUUCCUAACACAAGACCAAACUCACAACAAAAUCCACGCCUUUCAGACCAUUUCCAAAGGACGGCAUCUGAGAAGGACUGGCAGACAGUCCUGAAGCAUGAAGACCCACACAGUCAGAUCCAGCAGCUGGAAAAAAUGAAAAAUAAAACCACUAAAAUUUUGUUUUACAUAAUUAAUUUAUUGAUUUCUUAUUGAGAGUGCCAAAGGCAACCCUUCUAAUGAUAUUUUGGCUACAACUUGCAGACAAGGAUAGCUCCUUGGGAAACUAGAGACAAGAUGAUACAUGAUGCCCCAAUAUCUAGGUGUGCCAUUGAGACAGAAUUAAAGUAGAGCCUUUGAGAGUUUGGAAUCUGGUUAACUUUUAUGAAACAGCCUCUGCAGAAGAGGAAGCUAGGAAGCUUCAUUCUUGCUACUGUGUAAUAUGAAAUAUUGUCUAUUGGAAUGUUUACACCUAAGACCAAGGAAAGAAUGACUUUUUAAGUAAAAUGAAGAAGGUAGGAGUGGGGGGAAGGUUCAGUUAGUAAAAUGCACGCCUAGUAAGCAAAGGACUUGUGUGCACACCGUAGAGCUUACGUAAAAAGUCCAGACAUGACGGCAUGUGUUUGCAAUCUCAGCACAGGGCAGACAGAGACUUGAAGCUCCCUGGGCUUCACUGACCAGUCAUCCCAAUCUACUUGCCAAGCUCCAGCCACUGAGAGACUUUGUCUC
Molecule: long non-coding RNA, 986 nt
Organism: Mesocricetus auratus (golden hamster)
Lineage: Eukaryota; Metazoa; Chordata; Mammalia; Rodentia; Cricetidae
Exons: 3
Source: RefSeq, a predicted model, not a curated record